UACAGAGGUCUCAAGCGUUGUUCGGAUUCAUUGGGCGUAAAGGGUGCGUAGGCGGCGCGGUAAGUCGGGUGUGAAAUCUUGGAGCUUAACUCCGAAACUGCAUUCGAUACUGCCGUGCUUGAGGACUGGAGAGGAGACUGGAAUUUACGGUGUAGCGGUGAAAUGCGUAGAUAUCGUAAGGAAGACCAGUGGCGAAGGCGGGUCUCUGGACAGUUCCUGACGCUGAGGCACGAAGGCCAGUGGAGCAAACGGG
This 253-nucleotide ribosomal RNA is filed under the name uncultured bacterium. RNAcentral describes it as "partial 16S ribosomal RNA". It matches the Rfam family "Bacterial small subunit ribosomal RNA", at positions 524 to 776 of the family's 1533-position model. The record is from RNAcentral.